CAGGGAAGUGUGAACAUUUAAAAGACCAUGCUUUUAUAAAGCCCAAAUAAUGUAAACUUACAAUAAAAACCCAUUUUUCCUCUUUUGAAACUCUUCAUAUUGCUAAUAAAGUGUUAAAAACAGUCUCAUUUAUGUCAUCCAAUAUGAAAGGCAUCAAAGAAGACCUGCAUUUUCUCCGGAUUACAGUAAAAACUCUCUUCCGUGUAUCAGAUCGCCUCCCUCCUCUCCUGUCCUUCCCCCACCUUUCCCUUUCCUCUCUACAGUAAGAGUUAAAGGCACACAGGAUGUGAUGGAAUGGAAUUGAAUAACCCUACUAGGCACCAGCUGUAUUGAGAAGUGUGCAAAUUAUUCCAAGAGCUGCUUGGGCACAGGGAGUGAGCUCAUUCCACAGUGCCAAGCAGACAGCCUGGCACAUAGUAGGUACUCAAAAACAACUUCUGAAGGAACUGAAUGACUCAGGGACAUCUGUUUCCUUCCCUCCUGCUGGAGUUUUCACGCUGAUGGAUAUAGUCAUAAUUAAGCUAUAAUAUCAUAAAAGGUAGUGAUUCAAGAGACAAGUACUACAAGAGAGCUACAAAUGAAGUGAUGUGGGAUUUCAAAGAAGGAGAGAGUUCAGAGGGCUUUGGAGCAGAAGAGGUAUUUGCUCUGAAUAUUGAAAAGGUGGCAGAAUUUGAACACAUUCAUAUAAGAGAGUGGAUAAAGGCAUUCCAGGAAGAGGAGAGAGCAAAAAUAGAAAGAAUGUGCCAAGGCAGGAAAGUGAGAAAUCAUGGUGCUCCUACCAAGUAGUAGACUUUGACCUGAAGGGGCAAAACGGGAAAUAGAUUGGAAAUGCAGCCUGAGGCCAGCUCUUGGGAGAUCCAAAAAGCCAACUUACAGAAUUUGGAUUUUGUAGGCAAAACGGAGACACGGAGCAGCAACAAGAUACAGAACUUCAGUAAUAUCUAUCUGGCUACAAGAUGUAAACUUGAUUAGAAGUGGGGAGGGACAGAGACCAGGGAGAAGACUACUAUAAGUGGAACAAUGAAAAUGGAAUGUAGUGUGGAAUGCCAGAGAGCACGGAAUGGCUGGACCACAGCCUCGCAGCACAGGCGAGGAGGGGGAGUCAGUGAGGAUGGGAAGGUUUUGAGUCUGGGUAUCAGAAGAUGGAGUAUAUUUAGUGGAAAACUGAUAAUCGGUUUUGAAUCACAUGAGUAUCAGAUGACGACUGGACGGCCAGAGUAAAGGACAAAAUACAAAAGUAGAAAUGGGGCAUGUGGUGGGACAGGGAAUGGGGUUGAAAAAAAAAUUUGAGAAAAGGCAAGAAAAUGGAAAAUCAUACAAUUUUUAUGAUAAAGAUAAUAGUUUAUAAUGUGUCUGCAGAGCCCAAAGAAAGAAAAAUGCCUUAUAAUAAGUGGGAAGAUACACUCCAAGAAGCAGGCCACUUAAAACACAAUAUGUAUUGUGAAAGUUGGAGCAACACAUCUUAGAGGAUGCUGUGUUGUCAUGAAGCCUCCUUUCCUAUUAACCAAGAACAUGCCUUCCUCUGCAUCCUCAUCAAAAUUCUUGGUCACAAAAGCUGGGUAAAUGAUUGAUGAGAAAGAAACUGGUGGUUGAUGGAAAUCAAAGGAAGAAGGCAGAGGGUUUGCAGGGAGAGAAGUUUCACUCGUCAACAAAGGACAGACUCCCCUACAGUCAACUGUGCAGCUCCACCUCAAGGCCUGUAUGCAUGCACUUGGCUAGAACUGCUGCAAAGGGGCUUCUUCAGCAAUAAAUCAAGAGUGAAAGAACACGAAAUAAACCAUGUAAUUACACUUUUAAGUGACACCAGCACAGGAAUGCAAGAGAGCAAGGCAUGAGUACUCAUGGAGUUGCAUUGAUUCACUGACAUUCUUUCACCUUGUUUAGUGCCCUUUUUGAAUGACCAACAGCAUAUAUGGCUCAUGAUAUCAGGCUGGGAUUAGAAGAGCAAACUGCCAUUUGACAUAAUAAAUAAGCUAAGAAGUUCUCGUGAAUUACACAGAGACGAUGAAUAAAAUCUCUAUGUAUAA
Molecule: long non-coding RNA, 2027 nt
Filed under: Homo sapiens (human)
Lineage: Eukaryota; Metazoa; Chordata; Mammalia; Primates; Hominidae
Description: HSALNT0321164
Source: RNAcentral